This 252-nucleotide ribosomal RNA is filed under the name uncultured bacterium. Its description in RNAcentral is "partial 16S ribosomal RNA". It matches the Rfam family "Bacterial small subunit ribosomal RNA", at positions 524 to 776 of the family's 1533-position model. The record is from RNAcentral.
UACGUAGGGUGCAAGCGUUAAUCGAAUUACUGGGCGUAAAGCGUGCGCAGGCGGUUGUGCAAGACAGAUGUGAAAUCCCCGGGCUUAACCUGGGAAUUGCAUUUGUGACUGUACGGCUAGAGUGUGUCAGAGGGGGGUAGAAUUCCACGUGUAGCAGUGAAAUGCGUAGAGAUGUGGAGGAAUACCGAUGGCGAAGGCAGCCCCCUGGGAUAACACUGACGCUCAUGCACGAAAGCGUGGGGAGCAAACAGG